Molecule: small RNA, 30 nt
Filed under: Bombyx mori (domestic silkworm)
Lineage: Eukaryota; Metazoa; Arthropoda; Insecta; Lepidoptera; Bombycidae
Description: ovarian small RNA-33316
Source: RNAcentral
UGCAACAUUGUCUGCCUGGGCAGAUCGUUU